Molecule: ribosomal RNA, 497 nt
Filed under: uncultured bacterium
Lineage: Bacteria
Description: partial 16S ribosomal RNA
Rfam family: Bacterial small subunit ribosomal RNA
Source: RNAcentral
GAUGAACGCUGGCGGCGUGCCUAAUACAUGCAAGUCGAGCGAACAGACGAGGAGCUUGCUCCUUUGACGUUAGCGGCGGACGGGUGAGUAACACGUGGAUAACCUACCUAUAAGACUGGGAUAACUUCGGGAAACCGGAGCUAAUACCGGAUAACAUGUUGAACCGCAUGGUUCAACAGUGAAAGACGGUCUUGCUGUCACUUAUAGAUGGAUCCGCGCCGCAUUAGCUAGUUGGUAAGGUAACGGCUUACCAAGGCAACGAUGCGUAGCCGACCUGAGAGGGUGAUCGGCCACACUGGAACUGAGACACGGUCCAGACUCCUACGGGAGGCAGCAGUAGGGAAUCUUCCGCAAUGGGCGAAAGCCUGACGGAGCAACGCCGCGUGAGUGAAGAAGGUCUUCGGAUCGUAAAACUCUGUUAUAAGGGAAGAACAAAUGUGUAAGUAACUAUGCACGUCUUGACGGUACCUAAUCAGAAAGCCACGGCUAACUACGUG